UAAUUGAAUUGAGGGUUAGUAUA
RNAcentral lists this non-coding RNA (23 nucleotides) under Arabidopsis thaliana (thale cress). The record is from RNAcentral. Lineage: Eukaryota; Viridiplantae; Streptophyta; Magnoliopsida; Brassicales; Brassicaceae.